UGGGGAAUAUUGGACAAUGGGGGGAACCCUGAUCCAGCCAUGCCGCGUGUGUGAAGAAGGCCUUAUGGUUGUAAAGCACUUUAAGCGAGGAGGAGGCUACUUUAGUUAAUACCUAGAGAUAGUGGACGUUACUCGCAGAAUAAGCACCGGCUAACUCUGUGCCAGCAGCCGCGGUAAUACAGAGGGUGCGAGCGUUAAUCGGAUUUACUGGGCGUAAAGCGUGCGUAGGCGGCUUAUUAAGUCGGAUGUGAAAUCCCCGAGCUUAACUUGGGAAUUGCAUUCGAUACUGGUGAGCUAGAGUAUGGGAGAGGAUGGUAGAAUUCCAGGUGUAGCGGUGAAAUGCGUAGAGAUCUGGAGGAAUACCGAUGGCGAAGGCAGCCAUCUGGCCUAAUACUGACGCUGAGGUACGAAAGCAUGGGGAGCAAACAGGAUUAGAUACCCUGGUAGUCCAUGCCGUAAACGAUGUCUACUAGCCGUUGGGGCCUUUGAGGCUUUAGUGGCGCAGCUAACGCGAUAAGUAGACCGCCUGGGGAGUACGGUCGCAAGACU
RNAcentral lists this ribosomal RNA (549 nucleotides) under uncultured bacterium. Its description in RNAcentral is "bacterial SSU rRNA". It matches the Rfam family "Bacterial small subunit ribosomal RNA", at positions 355 to 895 of the family's 1533-position model. The record is from RNAcentral.